AUCUUAACUGUGCCAGUAGCUCCUCCAUGGGCUACUGCCGGUUCCAAGCCCGGAUAAAGGAGGAGGAU
This 68-nucleotide non-coding RNA is filed under the name Schistosoma mansoni. Lineage: Eukaryota; Metazoa; Platyhelminthes; Trematoda; Strigeidida; Schistosomatidae. The record is from RNAcentral.